UGCUCUAUAUAUUUUAAUUUUUAAUUUAAUGCUAUAUAAUAAUCAUGUAAUAGAAUCUUAAAUCUAAAAAUUCUCUAGCUUUAGAAAAUAAAUCUUGAUUUAUUUUAGUCUUCCACUGCCUGAUCUUGAAAAAAUUUUAAGAUCUAACCCUGAAACCCUAGAUCUGGUUCCUACAUUUAGCUCCUUUAAUGAGCAAAUAAAAUAUUAAAUAUACUUUACAUAAUAAGAAAGAAGCUUUUCUGAUUUUUUUCAAAGUUGUUGAAGACUUGAAUGAGCUCUUGAGGGGUUGGUGAGCUUGAAAUGAAAGCUUCUUUUGGUUAAAGAGGGCUUUUUGCUUAAGGCUGAAAUGAAUGCUUGAGAAAUCUUGAAAAUCUUAUCUUUUUCCUCUUCAAGUGCCUUUAUAUCUUCAAUAGAUGCUAGAGAUAAAUUUGAGCAAAAAUAAAACUGUUGGAGUACAUUAAAUGAGCAUUAAAUGCGGCCAAACUGAGCUGAAAAACUAACCGUUACGGAGAUUUUCCGUCGCAGGGGUUGACUCAUAGGGUCGACCUCUAUGGUGC
This 557-nucleotide long non-coding RNA is filed under the name Elaeis guineensis (African oil palm). Its description in RNAcentral is "long non-coding RNA (EGUI_LNC064691)". Lineage: Eukaryota; Viridiplantae; Streptophyta; Magnoliopsida; Arecales; Arecaceae. The record is from RNAcentral.